GAUGAACGCUGGCGGCGUGCCUAAUACAUGCAAGUCGAGCGAACAGACGAGGAGCUUGCUCCUCUGACGUUAGCGGCGGACGGGUGAGUAACACGUGGAUAACCUACCUAUAAGACUGGGAUAACUUCGGGAAACCGGAGCUAAUACCGGAUAAUAUAUUGAACCGCAUGGUUCAAUAGUGAAAGACGGUUUUGCUGUCACUUAUCGAUGGAUCCGCGCCGCAUUAGCUAGUUGGUAAGGUAACGGCUUACCAAGGCAACGAUGCGUAGCCGACCUGAGAGGGUGAUCGGCCACACGGGAACUUAGACACGGACCAGACGCCUGCGGGACGCAGCAGUAGGGAAUCGUCCGCAAUGGUCGAAAGCCUGACGGAGCAACGCCGCGUGAGUGAUGAAGGUCUUCGGAUCGUAAAACUCUGUUAUUAGGGAAGAACAAAUGUGUAAGUAAAUAUGCACGUCUUGACGGUACCUAAUCAGAAAGCCACGGCUAACUACGUG
RNAcentral lists this ribosomal RNA (497 nucleotides) under uncultured bacterium. Its description in RNAcentral is "partial 16S ribosomal RNA". It matches the Rfam family "Bacterial small subunit ribosomal RNA", at positions 28 to 507 of the family's 1533-position model. The record is from RNAcentral.